UCAAGGAGCCUUUGGGUAAGAGAAUGUGCGAUGUGGGAGCUUGUCUGAAGCAUCCCAGUGAUGCAAACUCUGUGUGGUGCUGAGGCUCCUGUGCCA
RNAcentral lists this small nucleolar RNA (96 nucleotides) under Bos grunniens (domestic yak). RNAcentral's name for it is "Small nucleolar RNA SNORD91 family (ENSBGRG00000024432.1)". It matches the Rfam family "Small nucleolar RNA SNORD91 family". From Rfam's summary of the family: The members of this family belong to the C/D class of snoRNAs which contain the C (UGAUGA) and D (CUGA) box motifs. Lineage: Eukaryota; Metazoa; Chordata; Mammalia; Artiodactyla; Bovidae. The record is from Rfam by way of RNAcentral.